AUGGACCAAUCCAUCCCUUUUUCCCGUGCAUAUGCAUCGGACUCGGAUUACGAUGGUCCCGAUGAAGAAGUUGAUGAGGAGGGGUUCACGCCGAAGGAGGCCGAAGCAUUCAAGAAGGUAUUCGGGCGGGAUCACAAGACACCAUUGUUCAAGGAUCUUAGUCUCGUGGAUGAAGCCAUUGUGGAUGGUGGCAAAUGCAUAUCUCUUGGAGCUAGGCCAAGUUCUCAC
RNAcentral lists this ribosomal RNA (228 nucleotides) under Triticum aestivum (bread wheat). Its description in RNAcentral is "partial small subunit ribosomal RNA". The record is from RNAcentral. Lineage: Eukaryota; Viridiplantae; Streptophyta; Magnoliopsida; Poales; Poaceae.